UCUCGUAGUGUUACAGAUACACCAAACACGGUGAUCGCAUGCGAAUACCGAUUUGUAAGAGUAAAUUGGUCAAUUUACUAAUCUGUAUCCGCGCAGGAAAAUAGUCCGAGCGGUCGUUUGUUAAUGUUCCAGUAUAAAUACGCGUUUGGCAGCAAUGGAUUUUCACUUGUAAUGAAGAGAGACAGAACUGUUUUGUCACAAUCGGAUAUUUUGUUUUAGUUUUGUUCCGUUGAAUUUUGUUUGACAUUUGUGAACAGAAAACUUGUGGAAUUGUUACAAGGAAAAACAGACAAAUGACGUCCUCAGUCACGUAUAUAUGUAUGUUUGUACUGGCCACCUCCGUAUGUCUGUCCAGUGUCUCUGAUGCGUAUAUAGACUGCUCCAUGGAAUGCCUCUUUGCAAAAUUUCGACAGCCUACAGUUUGUGAAUGCAAUAACAAUGUCAAGUCGCACUGGGGGAAGCGCGCACCGAGGACACAAACACACAGUGGUCUGCCUACGUUUAGAUACGGAAAACGAUCGGCUUUCUUUUGACGACUCUGAUUUAGAGGGCAUGGACAGAUUUGAUGAACUCAGUGCAAUACAGGACGAAUUCUACCCGGGCCUAGACUCUCGGAAGUGAUCGUGGAAACGACCAUGCGCUCGG
This is a long non-coding RNA of Dreissena polymorpha, 645 nucleotides long. RefSeq lists it as uncharacterized. NCBI's taxonomy places the organism in Eukaryota, Metazoa, Mollusca, Bivalvia, Myida, Dreissenidae. The record is from RefSeq and is a predicted model, not a curated record. The transcript has 3 exons.